AUUGAACGCUGGCGGCAGGCCUAACACAUGCAAGUCGAACGGUAACAGGAAGCAGCUUGCUGCUUCGCUGACGAGUGGCGGACGGGUGAGUAAUGUCUGGGAAACUGCCUGAUGGAGGGGGAUAACUACUGGAAACGGUAGCUAAUACCGCAUAAUGUCGCAAGACCAAAGAGGGGGACCUUCGGGCCUCUUGCCAUCGGAGUGGCCCAGAUGGGAUUAGCUUGUUGGUGGGGUAACGGCUCACCAAGGCGACGAUCCCUAGCUGGUCUGAGAGGAUGACCAGCCACACUGGAACUGAGACACGGUCCAGACUCCUACGGGAGGCAGCAGUGGGGAAUAUUGCACAAUGGGCGCAAGCCUGAUGCAGCCAUGCCGCGUGUAUGAAGAAGGCCUUCGGGUUGUAAAGUACUUUCAGCGGGGAGGAAGGGAGUAAAGUUAAUACCUUUGCUCAUUGACGUUACCCGCAGAAGAAGCACCGGCUAACUCCGUGCCAGCAGCCGCCGCGG
RNAcentral lists this ribosomal RNA (506 nucleotides) under uncultured bacterium. RNAcentral's name for it is "partial 16S ribosomal RNA". It matches the Rfam family "Bacterial small subunit ribosomal RNA", at positions 30 to 523 of the family's 1533-position model. The record is from RNAcentral.